Long non-coding RNA from Chenopodium quinoa (quinoa), 420 nucleotides. RefSeq lists it as uncharacterized. The record is from RefSeq and is a predicted model, not a curated record. NCBI's taxonomy places the organism in Eukaryota, Viridiplantae, Streptophyta, Magnoliopsida, Caryophyllales, Amaranthaceae. The transcript has 3 exons.
CGGAUAGUUAAAGAUUAUUUUAUAAAUACAAGUGUUAAUAAAUUGGUCAUGCACAACAAGUCAAAGUCGGUAUUUUAAGUCUUCGUGUCUAUAGGUUGAAAAGUAUUUGAUUAGGAUUAUUGGUUUGUUAUAGGAGGAAUUUCGGGUUCGAAAUUAGGAGCUCCGUAAUUGUGUGCAAAGAUCGAGAUAGGUGAUGGCGAUCGGACAACGUGAACUAUAUGCUGCAUUGGGAAUGAUGGGCGGUGAUCACCUAGUUUAAUUUAGUAUACAUAGUAUUAGUGGUGUAGCUAUUUUGAAAGUGUAUCAAACUAUUAUUAUUACUAUUAUUAUUAAUGAAAGUUAAGUACUAUUUUCCGCUACAAAACUCUGUUAAGCCUUACGUAAUCACGUGGCGGUAAUACUCCCAUGUUACUCCCUAAA